This is a long non-coding RNA of Mytilus californianus (California mussel), 1083 nucleotides long. RefSeq lists it as uncharacterized. NCBI's taxonomy places the organism in Eukaryota, Metazoa, Mollusca, Bivalvia, Mytilida, Mytilidae. The transcript is spliced from 2 exons. The record is from RefSeq and is a predicted model, not a curated record.
UUUUUAUAGUCUCUAAUUUUUGUCGAGCCUGCGACUUAUGUCGCAGAAAGCUCGACAUAGGGAUAGCGAUCCGGCGGCGGCGGCGUUAGCUAACUUCUUAAAAGCUUUAUAUUUUAGAAGAUGGAAGACCUGGAUGCUUCAUACUUUGUAUAUGGAUGCCUCAUGUUACGAAGUUUCCGUCAGUCACAUGUCCAAUGUCCUUGACCUCAUUUUCAUGGUUCAGUGACUACUUGAAAAAAAAGUUCAGAUUUUUUGUAAUGUUAAAUUCUCUCUUAUUAUAAGUAAUAGGAUAACUAUAUUUGGUAUGUGCGUACCUUGCGAGGUCCUCAUGCCCGUCAGACAGUUUUCACUUGACCUCGACCUCAUUUCAUGGAUCAGUGAACAAGGUUAAGUUUUCGUGGUCAAGUCCAUAUCUCAGAUACUAUAAGCAAUAGGUCUAGUAUAUUCGGUGUAUGGAAGGACUGUAAAGUGUACAUGCCCAACUGGCAGGUGUCAUCUGACCUUGACCUCAUUUUCAUGGUUCAGUGGUUAUAGUUAAGUUUUUGUGUUUUGGUCUGUUUUUCUUAUACUGUAUGCAAUAGGUCUACUUUAUUUGGUGUAUGGAAUGAUUGUAAGGUGUACAUGUCUAGCUGGCAGGUGUCAUCUUACCUUGACCUCAUUUUCAUGGUUCAGUGGUCAAAGUUAAGUUUUUGAGUUUUGGUCUUUUUUUCUAAUACAAUAUGCAAUAGUUCAACUAUAUUUGGUGUAUGGAAAUAUUUUAUGAUCUUUAUGUCAGUCACGCAGGUUUUAUUUGACCUUGACCUCAUUUUCAAGGUUCAUUGCUCAGUGUUAAGUUUUUGUGUUUUCGUCUGUUUUUCUUAAACUAUAAGCAAUAGGUCAACUAUAUUUGUUGUAUGGAAGAAUUGUUAGCUGUACAUGCCUGCCUAGCAUGGUUCAUCUGACCUUGACCUCAUUUUCAUGGUUCAUUGGUCAAUGUUUAGUUUACUUGGUUAAUGUUAAGUUUAUGUGACAGUUGUAAUAAAGCUUUAUAUUUAGGACUAUCAACAUAAUAUCAAUGAUUAGUAAAGAAGGCGAGACAUUUCA